This 506-nucleotide ribosomal RNA is filed under the name Lampyridae sp. UPOL RK0374. RNAcentral describes it as "partial 16S ribosomal RNA". The stretch from base 370 to 506 matches the Rfam family "Bacterial large subunit ribosomal RNA", at positions 2473 to 2610 of the family's 2925-position model. Lineage: Eukaryota; Metazoa; Arthropoda; Insecta; Coleoptera; Lampyridae. The record is from RNAcentral.
CAUGUCCUUUUGAUUAUAAUUUAAGGUCUAAUCUGCUCAAUGAAGAUUUAAAUAGCUGCAGUAUUUUGACUGUACAAAGGUAGCGUGAUAAUUAGUUUUUUAAUUGAAAACUUGUAUGAAUGAUUGGACAAGAAAACUUCUGUCUCUUUCUAAAUUUUUAUGAAUUUAAUUUUUAAGUUAAAAAGCUUAAAUAUGUAUAAAAGACGAGAAGACCCUAUAGAGUUUAAUUUUUUCUUUAUAUUUAGAAUUAUUUAACGGAGAAAAAAAUUGGUUGGGGUGACUAAAAAAUUUAAUAAACUUUUUUAAUUUAAAUCAUUGAUUUAUGAAUGUAAAAUCUAAUAUUUUAAUUUUAAAUUAAGUUACCUUAGGGAUAACAGAGUAAUUUCUUUUUAGAGCUCUUAUCAAAUAAGAAGAUUGCUACCUCGAUGUUGGAUUAAAAUUAAAUUUAGGUGUAGAAGCUUAAAUUUUAAGUCUGUUCGACUUUUAAAAUUUUACAUGAUCUGAGU